UAGUUACAGGCUUAACACAUGCAAGUCGAGGGGCAGCAUGGUCUUAGCUUGCUAAGGCCGAUGGCGACCGGCGCACGGGUGAGUAACACGUAUCCAACCUGCCGUCUACUCUUGGACAGCCUUCUGAAAGGAAGAUUAAUACAAGAUGGCAUCAUGAGUCCGCAUGUUCACAUGAUUAAAGGUAUUCCGGUAGACGAUGGGGAUGCGUUCCAUUAGAUAGUAGGCGGGGUAACGGCCCACCUAGUCUUCGAUGGAUAGGGGUUCUGAGAGGAAGGUCCCCCACAUUGGAACUGAGACACGGUCCAAACUCCUACGGGAGGCAGCAGUGAGGAAUAUUGGUCAAUGGGCGAGAGCCUGAACCAGCCAAGUAGCGUGAAGGAUGACUGCCCUAUGGGUUGUAAACUUCUUUUAUAAAGGAAUAAAGUCGGGUAUGGAUACCCGUUUGCAUGUACUUUAUGAAUAAGGAUCGGCUAACUCCGUGCCAGCAGCCGCGGUAAUACGGAGGAUCCGAGCGUUAUCCGGAUUUAUUGGGUUUAAAGGGAGCGUAGAUGGAUAUUUAAGUCAGUUGUGAAAGUUUGCGGCUCAACCGUAAAAUUGCAGUUGAUACUGGAUAUCUUGAGUGCAGUUGAGGCAGGCGGAAUUCGUGGUGUAGCGGUGAAAUGCUUAGAUAUCACGAAGAACUCCGAUUGCGAAGGCAGCCUGCUAAGCUGCAACUGACAUUGAGGCUCGAAAGUGUGGGUAUCAAACAGG
RNAcentral lists this ribosomal RNA (750 nucleotides) under uncultured Bacteroidales bacterium. Its description in RNAcentral is "bacterial SSU rRNA". It matches the Rfam family "Bacterial small subunit ribosomal RNA", at positions 37 to 776 of the family's 1533-position model. Lineage: Bacteria; Pseudomonadati; Bacteroidota; Bacteroidia; Bacteroidales. The record is from RNAcentral.